GCGUCUGUGGCUCAGGGGUUAAGCACUUGACUUGCAAUCUGCAGGUUAUGGGUUUGAAUCCCUUCAUGUACC
This 72-nucleotide transfer RNA is filed under the name Papilio machaon (common yellow swallowtail). It matches the Rfam family "tRNA". Rfam says of the family: Transfer RNA (tRNA) molecules are approximately 80 nucleotides in length. Their secondary structure includes four short double-helical elements and three loops (D, anti-codon, and T loops). The record is from Rfam by way of RNAcentral. Lineage: Eukaryota; Metazoa; Arthropoda; Insecta; Lepidoptera; Papilionidae.